This 97-nucleotide small nucleolar RNA is filed under the name Amborella trichopoda. Its description in RNAcentral is "Small nucleolar RNA snoR31/Z110/Z27". It matches the Rfam family "Small nucleolar RNA snoR31/Z110/Z27". From Rfam's summary of the family: This family contains several related snoRNAs including R31, Z27 and Z110. Family members belong to the C/D class of snoRNAs which contain the C (UGAUGA) and D (CUGA) box motifs. The record is from Rfam by way of RNAcentral. Lineage: Eukaryota; Viridiplantae; Streptophyta; Magnoliopsida; Amborellales; Amborellaceae.
UCAAUCAGAUGAUGAGACUCAGAAAAUCUUAGGACACCUUCCUACACAGUUAUAAAAUAACUGUGGAUGAGAAAGACUUUCUAUCUCUGAUGAUAAG